Molecule: ribosomal RNA, 306 nt
Filed under: Blastocystis sp. subtype 1
Lineage: Eukaryota; Bigyra; Opalinata; Blastocystidae
Description: SSU rRNA
Rfam family: Eukaryotic small subunit ribosomal RNA
Source: RNAcentral
CCUUCCAGUAUCCAGUAGUGGGUAUUCAGUUACUUACUAUUGUGUGUUGGUCGUUUACUGUGAGAAAAUUAGAGUGUUCAAAGCAGGCGUUUGCUUGAAUAGAUUAGCAUGGAAUAAUAAUUGAAGGCUUUCGUGUUCGAUUUGAUUGGUUUGUUCAUGGAAGCAAGGUUAAAAGGAACAGUUGGGGGUAUUCAUAUUCACUAGUUAGAGGUGAAAUUCUCGGAUUUAUGGAAGAUGAACAAGUGCGAAAGCAUUUACCAAGGAUGUUUUCAUUAAUCAAGAACGAAAGCUAGGGGAUCGAAGAGG